Molecule: long non-coding RNA, 8274 nt
Organism: Oncorhynchus masou masou (cherry salmon)
Lineage: Eukaryota; Metazoa; Chordata; Actinopteri; Salmoniformes; Salmonidae
Exons: 2
Source: RefSeq, a predicted model, not a curated record
GACAGAGAGGAGGGAGAGACAGACUUCAUCACUGACUCCAGACCUGAGGACAAACUCAUCUGAAGAACCACUCACACCAAUUCAAAGAGGAUGAUUGAUUCUGCACAUUCUAUUGGAAGACGUGAGGGAAGUUCUCAUCUGACGAAAAGACGACUCGGACCCGCCCAGACCAGACCUUGACUGUGAACUGCUCGGCAGGAGACAUAUCGUAAGUGAACAAUAGAGGGACACAUCUACUGACUUUUCAGUAAGUCAAUUUAAAUGAAUUUUUAUUUAAAAAAAAAAAAAAACAAUAAAACUAAACCUUAAAAAUGAAGUAAAUGGAAAGAUACCAUAAUCUUAGAGAGAAGGCUAAAGACGUGGGCAAGAAUAGCCCCGUUGUCUAUGGGCAUUGAUGUGUAGUGUCUACGUGGUCUGAGAGCCACAGGUAAAUAGUAAAUAGCGCAAGGUGUUAUUAUAUAUGCAUAGGAGGUAACUGCAAGAGAACCAUUGAAGAUGCAGAUGGAGUACUACUGGGUGUGUUUGGGCACUAAGGGAAUGUGGAUGUGUGAGUAUGGGAAUGACAUGUUAACCCUUCAAUGCUUCUCCCUAAAGCAGAUGCCGGUGAAGACCAUGACUGUGACCUAGCCAUUGCUGUUGACUGUAGGUUGGACUUGAGAGACACCACGUUAGACUAAUGACUAAUACACCUUUUUCCCCAGAACAGGUUGUCCCUGCAAGGAACGGAGGAAGACAUUGUAGAGAAUUGUGUCUCCCUCCCCAUAACAGUGUUCUUAGGACUCUCUUCCCACGGGUGAAGGCGUCUAUGCCGAACCUAACAGGUGGGGCCGAACACUGUUUGAACCCAGGUGAUUCCGUGGUGGUCAAAGACUUCAGGAGAAAGAGUUGGAACGACCCCCGUCGAUAUCAAGUUCUUCAAGACCACCCCCCACUGCGGUGAAGGUUGCUGAGAGAGAAACCUGGAUCCACGCGUAGCACUGCAGACGAGCUCCUGAUCCAGGAGAAGAUGAGGCCUCCUCUGCUUUAGCACAGGAAUGCUAAUAGGAACAGCAGGCUGUCUUCUUGUAAGAAACCCGACAGAGGGUCAAAUGAGUCCUGAGCCAAAGGGGCGAACACAGGCCUGGAGUAGUGGCCCAGAAGUAGAUGGUCACCGUAGAAGGAGAGGCCUGCUGGGCCCUCACAACCAGGAGGACAAUUUGUUCUUAUCUAGAGCACAAAUGGUUGCCAACCUGACAUUCAAAGGAAAGGACUGCUGGGUGUGUGGGUUGAGUCCGGGGAAGGUUGGGGCAGGCUUCCCCCUUGUAGGAGUCCCGAUAGGGGUGAACUUUACUAUAGCGUUGGCAGGAAAAAUACCUUUUUACACUAUGACCAACAAUGUUAAGGUAUAUAAUCAACCCAAUAUAUUCUGUUAUGUGAGACCUGAUAGUGUUUCACUCCCACCCAUUUCAGUGGCUGCGGUGACGACUGCCCCUUGGUGUAUUAGGGGAUAUGGAGAUCACUAUUUGGGUGAAUUCAAAUGUAAUUGUACAAUGAAUAUUAAUGGAUCAAAUGCUUGCAAUUUAAAGGUGAUACAGGAGAAUGGCCAGGCUGAUAAAGAACCGUUUACAAUUUGGUUUGACAAACAUAGAACAACUCUGAGAGGAGCCCCUAAUGGCACCUACUGGUUGUGUGGUAAGAUGGCUUACCAUAGCCUUCCCCUGAACUGGGGAGGUACUUGUACUGUUGGGUUUGUGGUGACAGCAAUGAGAACCGUUCCAAACAAUGACCAGAAUCUGAAGGCUCUCUUCAGAGACUACAAACCUCCUGGGACGAGGAGAGAUAAGAGGUCUCUGGCCGACGGCACUCACACUCAGGCACCUGCCUCCAGGUUCUUUGACGGGUUUGUCCCUGGGUAUGGAGUUGCCGGCGCCCAAGACCAAAUCCGUGAUAUCUCUAGACACGUAGAGAAAAUUGGCAAUGCGACUCGAAAUGCACUGGAACAAUUGAAUGGGGAACUAAAAGAAUUGGCUGAAAUGACUCUUCAGAACAGAGAGGCUCUUGACUAUCUUCUGGCAGCUCAAGGGGGCACUUGUGCAAUCAUAGGCGAUGAAUGUUGUACUUUUGUCCCAGGUCGCUCUUCUAAUGUGACUGAUCUUGCCCAAUACAUUGUCACUGUUGCUAGAAAUUAUUCCCCACAACUAGAGCGGACGCUUGCAACUUGGUUGGAGUCCCUGUUGGGAAGUUGGGGAUCUCAUAUUGCCCAAUGGGCUGCAGCGUGUGUUUUUUGAUUAGGCUGCAUAAUUCUAUUAUUAACAGGCUGCAAGGCUAUCUAACAGGCUGUAAGGCUAUCUAACAGGCUGUAAGGCUGUCUAACAGGCUAUAAGGCUAUCUAACAGGCUGUAAGGCUGUCUAACAGGCUGUAAGGCUAUCUAACAGGCUGUAAGGCUGUCUAACAGGCUGUAAGGCUGUCUAACAGGCUGUAAGGCUAUCUAACAGGCUGUCAGGCUAUCUAACAGGCUGUAAGGCUAUCUAACAGGCUGUAAGGCUCUCUAACAGGCUGUAAGGCUAUCUAACAGGCUGUAAGGCUCUCUAACAGGCUGUAAGGCUAUCUAACAGGCUGUAAGGCUAUCUAACAGGCUGUAAGGCUCUCUAACAGGCUGUAAGGCUCUCUAACAGGCUGCAAGGCUAACAGGCGGUAAGGCUAUCUAACAGGCUGUAAGGCUAUCUAACAGGCUGUAAGGCUAUAUAACAGGCUGUAAGGCUCUCUAACAGGCUGUAAGGCUCUCUAACAGGCUGUAAGGCUCUCUAACAGGCUGCAAGUCUAUCUAACAGGCUGUAAGGCUAUCUAACAGGCUGUAAGGCUAUUCUCCCUGUGUAAUACGGUCUCAGCGUUUAAUGCUCUUCAAGGGGAUGGUGAGCUACCGAAGCUGGAUGAGCUUCCCUUUCCCACUGUAGAUUGAGACGAUGAGUAAUAACUGAAGGUUGCUUUUGUUUGACAAGUUUAGAAGGUUUAAAGUUGAGUUAAUCAUUUAUAUUAAAACACCAUUGUGGUAAGAGCUAUGGAAACAAUGGUUAAACAUCGAGCUACAAAUCCCUUGUGUGUGUAUUUUUUUGAUAGAUUGACUAAUAGAAGUAUAACCUUGACUGUAGAUUUUAGCUUUAUUAUGAUGAUAGUAUUUCCGUAAAUGAACUUGUGUGAUGAAGCAUGUGUGUCAGUGUAAUGAAGCAUGUGUGUCAGUGUAUGAAGCAUGUGUGUCAGUGUAAUGAAGCAUGUGUGUCAGUGUAUGAAGCAUGUGUUUAAGUGUAAUGAAGCAUGUGUGUCAGUGUAUGAAGCAUGUGUUUAAGUGUAAUGAAGCAUGUGUGUCAGUGUAAUGAAGCAUGUGUGUCAGUGUAUGAAGCAUGUGUGUAAGUGUGAUGAAGCAUGUGUGUAAGUGUGAUGAAGCAUGUGUGUAAGUGUAUGAAGCAUGUGUAUGAAGCAUGUGUAAUGAAGUAUGUGUGUGAGUGUGAUGAAGCGAAGGUCUUAAUUUAAACCGUUUUACUGCCAUGGCUUUACAAGUGUUAGACUUAUGGAAUACGGAUAAUUUAUCAUUUCGAUUGUACAACCCAGAAUGAAGGGUUUGAAAGGAUAAAGUGGCGUUUUUAUGAGUUGAUUUCAGUGUUUUUGAUAGGACCUCCUUUGAUAGUUUAAGCCUUUAAUCUAACGUCACCUUAACAUGUUACAACAGUUAUCACAGAGUGAUAAGAGAAGAUGUGGUGGGAAAUGUUGUUGUCUGAAGAGAAGCCUUGCAUUGUACAUCUUGGUCUUGUUCUCUCUCACUAUAUGGUGGUUUGUGCAGGUGACUGUGACCUCCUCAGACCAAUUGGUAGAACAGCCCAGAAUAUUUUCUGGGAGUUAAGAUAGGAGACAUUUGGUUAAUUUGUUUUAAUUGUCUCAUUUAUAGUUUUUGUUGACAACGAUUUUUAGGUCGUUGACAAUGAUUAUUUUUGUCAUAGUUAUUAUUGACAAAAGGAACACUGUUUGACAGGGCAUCAUUAUUUAACAUUGAUUUUAUUUUACGAGGCAAGGCAGUUAAAAACAACUUCUUAUUUUCAAUGACAGCCUAGGAACAGUGGGUUAACUGCCUUGUUCAGGGGCAGAACGACAGAUUUUGACCUUGUCAGUUCGGGGAUUCAAUCUUUCAACCUUUCGGUUACAAGUCAAAUGCUCUAACCACAAGGCUACCUGCUGCUGUUAAAGGCAUAAACCAAAACACGUGUUACGUGUUACUGUGUGUUCAAUUGAGACAUAUUGCAACGAGAUUAAGUCUGUAAUACCACCUUGUUUCAAGCAGACCACCAUAGACCCUGUGCCCAAGAACACGAAGGCAACCUGCCUAAAUGACUACCAACCCGUAGCACUCAGGUCCGUAGCCAUGAAGUGCUUUGAAAGGCUGGUAAAUGCCCAUGAACAAGGCAGUUAACCCACUGUUGCCUAUCCCAGAAACCCACUAUCCCAGAAACCCACUAUCCCAGAAACCCUAGACCCUGUCCAAUUUGCAUACUGCCCAAACAGAUCCACAGAUGAUGUAAUCUCUAUUACACUCCACACUGCCUUUCCCCACCUGGACAAAAGGAACACCUAUGCGAGAAUGCUGUUCAUUGACACAUUUCAACACCAUAGUACCCUCAAAGCUCAUCACUAAGCUAAGGAUCCUGGGACUAAACACCUCCCUCUGCAACUGGAUCCUGGACAUUCCUGACGGGCCGCCCCCAGGUGGUGAGGGUCGGUAGCAACACAUCUGCCACGCUGAUCCUCAACACUGGAGCCCCCGAGAGGUGCGUGCUUAGUCCCCUCCUGUUCUCCCUGUUCACCCACGACUGCGUGGAUAUGCACGACUCCCAACACCAUCAUUAAGUUUGCACAUGACAAGAGUGAUCACCGACAACGAUGAGACAGUCUAUAGGGAGGUGGUCAGAGACCUGGCCAGGUGGUGCCAGAAUAACAACCUAUCCCUCAACGUAAUCAAGACUAAGGAGAUGAUUGUGGACUAGAGGAAAAGGAGGGCCGAGCACAUCCCAAUUCUCAUCAAUGGGGCUGUAGUGGAGCAGGUUGAAAGCUUCAAGAUCCUUGGUGUCCACAUCAACAACAAACUAGAAUGGUCGAAACACACCAAGACAAUCGUGAAGAGGGCACGACAAAGCCUAUUCCCCCUCAGGAAACUGAAAAGAUUUGGCAUGGGUCCUCAGAUCCUCAAAAGGUUCUACAGCUGCAACAUUGAGAGCAUCCUGACUGGUUGCAUCACUGCCUGGUACGGCCACUGCUCGUCCUCCGACCGCAAGGCACUACAGAGGGUAGUGUGUACGACCCAGUACAUCACUGGGGCCAAGCUGCCUGCCAUCCAGGACCUCUAUACCAGGCGGUGUCAGAGGAAGGCCCUAACAAUGGUCAAAGACCCCAGCCACCCCAGUCAUAGUCUGUUCUCUCUGUUACCUCAUGGCAAGCAGUACCGGAGUGCCAAGUCUAGGACCAAAAGGCGUCUCAACAGCUUCUACCCCCAAGCCAUAAGACUCCUAAACAGGUAAUCAAAUGUCUACCCGGACAAUUUGCAUUGUGUUCCUCCCCCAACCCCUCUUUUACACUACUCUCUGUUUAUCAAAUAGGCACAGUCACUUUAACUAUACAUUCAUAUACAUACGAGCACAUUGGCGAACCAGUCUAUCUGCAUUGUGUCCCACCACACUCCAACCCCUCUUUCAUGCUACUGCUACUCUCUGUUCAUCAUAUACGCAUAGUCACUUUAACCACAUCUACAUGUACAUACUACCUCAAUCAGCCCGACUAACCGGUAUGUAUCCUUGCUACUUUUAUAGCCUUGCUACUGUAUGUAGCCUCGCUACUGUAUAUAGCCUCUCUACUGUAUAUAGCCUCGCUACUGUACAUAGCCCUGCUACUGUAUAUAGCCUCACUACUGUAUAUAGCCUCACUACUGUAUAUAGCCUCGCUACUGUAUGUAGCCUCGCUACUGUAUGUAGCCUCUCUACUGUAUAUAGCCUCUCUACUGUAUAUAGCCUCGCUACUGUUAUUGCCCUGCUACUGUAAAUAGCCUCACUACUGUAUAUAGCCUCAAUACUGUAUAUAGCCACUCUACUGUAUAUAGCCUCUCUACUGUAUAUAGCCUCACUACUGUAUAUAGCCUCACUACUGUAUAUAGCCUCUCUACUGUAUAUAGCCUCUCUACUGUAUAUAGCCUCACUACUGUAUAUAGCCUCACUACUGUAUAUAGCCUAUCUACUGUAUAUAGCCUCUCUAAUGUAUAUAGCCUCUACUGUAUGUAGCCUCUCUACUGUAUAUAGCCUCUCUACUGUAUAUAGCCUCUCUACUGUAUAUAGCCUCUCUACUGUAUAUAGCCUCACUACUGUAUAAAGCCUCUCUACUGUAUAUAGCCUCUCUACAGUAUAUAGCCUCACUACUGUAUAAAGCCUCUCUAAUGUAUAUAGCCUAUCUACUGUAUAUAGCCUCUCUACUGUAUAUAGCCUCUCGACUGUAUAUAGCCUCUCUACUGUAUAUAGCCUCUACUGUAUAUAGCCUCUACUGUAUAUAGCCUCUACUGUAUAUAGCCUAUCUACUGUAUAUAGCCUCUCUACUGUAUAUAGCCUCUCUACUGUAUAUAGUAAUAAUAACCUUUUUGCACUGUUGGUUAAAAAAAAGCCUGUAAGAUCUACACCUGUUGUAUUCAGCAUUUCACUGUGAGGUCUACUACACUUGUUGUAUUCAGCAUUUCACUGUGAGGUCUACUACACUUGUUGUAUUCAGCAUUUCACUGUAACGUCUACUACACCUGUUGUAUUCAGCAUUUCACUGUGAGGUCUACUACACCUGUUGUAUUCAGCAUUUCACUGUGAGGUCUACUACACCUGUUGUAUUCAGCAUUUCACUGUGAGGUCGACUACACCUGUUGUAUUCAGCAUUUCACUGUAAGGUCUACUACACCUGUUGUAUUCAGCAUUUCACUGCGAGGUCUACUACACCUGUUGUAUUCAGCAUUUCACUGUAAGGUCUACUACACCUGUUGUAUUCAGCAUUUCACUGCGAGGUCUACUACACCUGUUGUAUUCAGCAUUUCACUGUAAGGUCUACUACACCUGUUGUAUUCAGCAUUUCACUGCGAGGUCUACUACACCUGUUGUAUUCAGCAUUUCACUGUGAGGUCUACUACACCUGUUGUAUUCAGCAUUUCACUGUGAGGUCGACUACACCUGUUGUAUUCAGAAUUUCACUAUACGGUCUCUACACCUGUUGUAUUCAGCAUUUCACUGCGAGGUCUACUACACCUGUUGUAUUCAGCAGUUCACUGUAUGGUCUCUACACCUGUUGUAUUCAGCAUUUCACUAUACGGUCUCUACACCUGUUGUAUUCAGCAUUUCACUGUGAGGUCUACUACACCUGUUGUAUUCAGCAGUUCACUGUAUUGUCUCUACACCUGUUGUAUUCAGCAUUUCACUGUACGGUCUCUACACCUGUUGUAUUCAGCAUUUCACUGUACGGUCUCUACACCUGUUGUAUUCAGUAUUUCACUGUAAGGUCUACUACACCUGUUAUAUUCAGCAUUUCACUGUGAGGUCUCUACACCUGUUGUAUUCAGCAUUUCACUGUAAGGUCUACUACACCUGUUGUAUUCAGCAUUUCACUGUACGGUCUCUACACCUGUUGUAUUCAGCAUUUCACUGUAAGGUCUGCUACACCUGUUGUAUUCAGCAUUUCACUGUACGGUCUCUACACCUGUUGUAUUCAGCAUUUCACUGUAAGGUCUACUACACCUGUUGUAUUCAGCAUUUCACUGUGAGGUCUACUACACCUGUUGUAUUCCUUAUUUCACUGCGAGGUCUACUACACCUGUUGUAUUCAGCAUUUCACUGUAAGGUCUACUACACCUGUUGUAUUCAGCAUUUCACUGUAAGGUCUACUACACCUGUUGUAUUCAGCAGUUCACUGUGAGGUCUACUACACCUGUUGUAUUCAGCAUUUCACUGUGAGGUCUACUACACCUGUUGUAUUCAGCAUUUCACUGUGAGGUCUACUACACCUGUUGUAUUCAGCAUUUCACUGUACGGUCUCUACACCUGUUGUAUUCAGCAUUUCACUGUAAGGUCUACUACACCUGUUGUAUUCAGCAUUUCACUGUAAGGUCUACUACACCUGUUGUAUUCAGCAUUUCACUGUAAGGUCUACUACACCUGUUGUAUUCAGCAUUUCACUGUAAGGUCUAAACCUGUUGUAUUCAGCGCACGUGAAAAAUAAACUUUGAUUUGAUCGAG